This 497-nucleotide ribosomal RNA is filed under the name uncultured bacterium. RNAcentral's name for it is "partial 16S ribosomal RNA". It matches the Rfam family "Bacterial small subunit ribosomal RNA", at positions 28 to 507 of the family's 1533-position model. The record is from RNAcentral.
GAUGAACGCUGGCGGCGUGCCUAAUACAUGUAAGUCGAGCGAACAGACGAGGAGCUUGCUCCUCUGACGUUAGCGGCGGACGGGUGAGUAACACGUGGAUAACCUACCUAUAAGACUGGGAUAACUUCGGGAAACCGGAGCUAAUACCGGAUAACAUGUUGAACCGCAUGGUUUAACAGUGAAAGACGGUCUUGCUGUCACUUAUAGAUGGAUCCGAGCCGCAUUAGCUAGUUGGUAAGGUAACGCCUUACCAAGUCAACGAUGCGUAGCCGACCGGAGAGGGUGAUCGGCCACACUGGAACUGAGACACGGUCCAGACUCCUACGGGAGGCAGCAGUAGGGAAUCUUCCGCGAUGGGCGAAAGCCUGACGGAGCAACGCCGCGUGAGUGAAGAAGGUCUUCGGAUCGUAAAACUCUGUUAUUAGGGAAGAACAAAUGUGUAAGUAACUAUGCACGUCUUGACGGUACCUAAUCAGAAAGCCACGGCUAACUCCGUG